RNAcentral lists this ribosomal RNA (460 nucleotides) under uncultured bacterium. RNAcentral's name for it is "bacterial SSU rRNA". It matches the Rfam family "Bacterial small subunit ribosomal RNA", at positions 343 to 794 of the family's 1533-position model. The record is from RNAcentral.
UGGAGGCAGCAGUGAGGAAUUGUUCGCAAUGGGCGCAAGCCUGACGACGCAACGCCGCGUGGGGGAUGAAGGUCUUCGGAUUGUAAACCCCUGUCGAGCGGGACGAAUGGCCCGCGACCUAACACGUCGUGGGAGUGACGGUACCGCUAAAGGAAGCCACGGCUAACUCUGUGCCAGCAGCCGCGGUAAUACAGAGGUGGCAAGCGUUGUUCGGAAUUACUGGGCGUAAAGGGCGCGUAGGCGGCCCUCUAAGUCAGACGUGAAAUCCCCCGGCUUAACCUGGGAACUGCGUCUGAUACUGGAGGGCUUGAAUGCGGGAGAGGGAUGUAGAAUUCCAGGUGUAGCGGUGAAAUGCGUAGAUAUCUGGAGGAAUACCGGUGGCGAAGGCGGCAUCCUGGACCGACAUUGACGCUGAGGCGCGAAAGCUAGGGUAGCAAACGGGAUUAGAUACCCCGGUAGC